AAAAAAAAGAGUUUGAUCUUGGCUCAGAAUCAACGCUGGCGGCGUGCCUAACACAUGCAAGUCGAACGCGGUUAUCCAGCAAUGGAUAACUGAGUGGCGAACGGGUGAGUAACACGUGGGUGACCUACCUUCGAGUGGGGGAUAACGUCCCGAAAGGGACGCUAAUACCGCAUAACAUCCUGCCUUUGAACAGGCGGAGAUCAAAGCUGGGGAUCGUAAGACCUGGCGUUUGAAGAGGGGCCCGCGUCCGAUUAGCUAGUUGGUGAGGUAAUGGCUCACCAAGGCAACGAUCGGUAGCCGGCCUGAGAGGGCGGACGGCCACACUGGGACUGAGACACGGCCCAGACUCCUACGGGAGGCAGCAGUGGGGAAUUGUUCACAAUGGGCGCAAGCCUGAUGACGCAACGCCGCGUGGAGGAUGAAGGUCUUCGGAUUGUAAACUCCUGUUGCCAGGGACGAAUGGCUCUGACCUAACACGUCAGAGUAUGACGGUACCUGGUGA
RNAcentral lists this ribosomal RNA (502 nucleotides) under uncultured Acidobacteriota bacterium. Its description in RNAcentral is "bacterial SSU rRNA". It matches the Rfam family "Bacterial small subunit ribosomal RNA", at positions 1 to 485 of the family's 1533-position model. The record is from RNAcentral. Lineage: Bacteria; Pseudomonadati; Acidobacteriota.